CCAAAGGGACAGAGGGCACACAGGGGCCGUGCAUCAGCAUCAGGGGAUAAAAGGCUGGGCUGGGGGACAGGAGGAGCCUUUUGAGGGGGACAGAAGUUGUUCUGUGUGGGCAGAAGCCUUCUGAUGAGGUAAAACUGAGGUUUUGUUUUCACCAAAAGCCUGGUUCCAGCUGCUCUUGGUACACACAUCUCUGCUCAAGCAGCAUCCUAACUGAUGUGCAGAAGUGUAGCAGAGAGAUUUGUGUGAGAGGCUUGAUUAAAGCUCAGCUCCUCUAUGCAAUCUGGAUCCCAAAACAUCAGGACAUUUUUGGUCCUUUUGAAAAAUGAUCCUCAGCCUGCCGGUGAGGUGCUAAUUAAUGUGAGGAUGUGGUGCACCAUAUAAUAAAGGCUGCUGUUGAGGAAUGUGAGUGAAGCGGGGAUUGCUCCCAAGCUGCUGAUGUGUAAACAAGAUUGCUGCAAAGGUGGGCCACAGUCAUGAAGGACAUGACCUGGUACCCUUAGCCCCCUCAACACAUUCCUCUUAUGGAGGCAGCAGACCCUCAGAACAGGCUCCUUCCAAGGGCCCUGCCUACAUUUUUCUGUCACCAGUGGCUCCAGAGGGGGAAGCCUGUGGAUGCAGAUCCGACUCUCCCCGCGUGCACAUGAUCAGCCAGCUGGUUUUGACUAGUUUAUCUGCAAAUCUAAAACACAUGAAGAACCAAAGUCUGCAGAACGGAAAAGAGCGAUUUUCUCUGGGAAGCCUCUAACCUGUUGUCAAGAAGAAUUCUGCAUUGUGGUGCAGCUGACUCAACUCGUUUCCCUCAGCUACCAAGAAAAGCAAAGAAAUGGCAAGUUCUGUACCUUUCCAAAAAUUUAGAAAAACAUUGGAUAAAUGGCUGAAGAGGAAUGUUUGACUCAAACCCCAGAACACUGAUUCAGGAACCACCUUUUACUGGCUGCCAUCUGAAUGCCAACAUUGAUUUGUGCUACCUGUUUUUUAGGACACUGAAACCUCACCCAUGCUGAAAGGCAAAGGCAGAAAAUGUUGGUUUGCCUUUAGCUCUGACAAAUAUCUAACAGUGGUGAGUGUGGGAUGAGAAUCCAAAAGCAAUUUACAUGGUGUGAUGGCAGCUGGGUGACAUCUUUCAUAGAUGUGGGAUGACAGCUCCCUGUCCUUCUUCCCCCUUUCAGCUCCCCAACACACAGCGCGUCCUUCUCGUUCCCAUUCUUCCUCGCUUGCUCCCUCUUUUGCCAGUCAUCUGUUUCCCCACCCAGGUGGCUCGCAGUGCCUUCCUUGACUGUGUUCAUCUGGGCUGAGGUUGCCAAACAACUGGGGUGUGGCCAGAUCCCAAAUCCCAGGGCAGCCUCACUGACCACCCCUCUUUCCAGCACCAGGCACGGCAGCCCUGCAGAGGCUGGCAGGUUGCAACAUGUGUAUUAAUAUGGCUUUGCUUUCUCGUAUCCUUAUCUCUAACAGCAAAUCUGUGUAGCUCAGGAUAUGAACUGCAAAUGAGAGAUGAGGAACUGGUUAGUGCUUAUCAGGAACGAUGGAAUUUGAGAUCUGGAGAUGAAGGGGGGUUGUUAGCUGUGUUUUUUUAAUGAGAGGACUGGCUGAUGUUUAUCAGUUGACCCCUGCUUCAGGUAACGGAGCAGUUGGCAGGGAGCUAUUCGUACUGAUUAGAUUGAGUGAGUUGGUAUUCAGAUUAACUUCUGAUUUCCCUUGUAUUAUUUGUACAAGCUCUUUAUUGCUCUGGAUAAUUCUCCCCUUCCUGGUUUAGGAAGUGGAACUGACAUCCUCCUGGAGCACUGCUACCAGCUCACCAGAUUUUAUUAUGUGAGACAACACGAUGGUCAUAGAUUAACUCAACCUCUUACUAUUUUUCUGUAUUAAAAUUAGACCUCUGUGACAUUUGCUUUGUUCUAACCAAACAGGGAUAAUGUACAGCUUUAUCAUCUAGGAAAGAUUUAUGGUACUGAGGCCCAUCAGGAUAUUACUUUUAAUCAACAUUUCUGUGGCUAAAGCAACUGCUGUCUUCUUUCAGGAUUGAAUAUUUGUGUAACCUGAGCGGCUUUCAAUCCUUGCUUGUUCUGAGAGUCCCCAAAACCUUUCUGCUGUGGCUGGAAGGAAUUAUGAUGUUCUUACCCUCCCUCUCCCCUGCUAAGUUCAUUGCAGUAUCUUUGGGUUUCUUUCCUCUCUGUUAUUUGUCACUGCCUUGUCUCACUUCCUUGCCACAACAGAUCUUUGAAGUGAUCCAUCAGAGGAGCAAAUUCAUAACCAGUUUUUCAAAAGUUCCCUUAUUGGAUUUACAAGCCUGACCCCAACAGACCUUGCAAUCACAGGUGAGAGUCCAGGUAGAACAAGUAAUAACUUCAUACAUGUGUACGUGAGGAUUUCCACUACACUAGCAAACACAUUUUUUGUGACAUUUCCAACCUGGCUAUCAAACCUCAUAUUGCACAUAUCUGUAGAGAAAACCAGGUUUGUUUUCCAUGAAUGGGCCACAUUAUGGGGAUUUUUUUUUAAUGUUAUUCCAUCUCCUACAGGCUUUUAUCCAAACCAAGCAGCUAAAAUAAAACAUGGCUUCCUUCCCUGAGAUGGUUUCAUAGCCCAGCUCUCCAACUUUCUCCCGUACCACAAACAUGCAACACAAUUGUGCAACAGCCGAGGAAGGAAUGGUGAGAUCAGAGCCGUGACUGCAGACAUCCUGACAUGGGGAUCUGGCAGUUAUUCAACACAAACACAAUUAGAGGACUUACCCUUGCG
Passer domesticus (house sparrow) is the source of this 2742-nucleotide long non-coding RNA. RefSeq lists it as uncharacterized. The record is from RefSeq and is a predicted model, not a curated record. NCBI's taxonomy places the organism in Eukaryota, Metazoa, Chordata, Aves, Passeriformes, Passeridae. The transcript has 7 exons.